AACGAACGCUGGCGGCAUGCCUAACACAUGCAAGUCGAACGAGACCUUCGGGUCUAGUGGCGCACGGGUGCGUAACGCGUGGGAACCUGCCCUUAGGUUCGGAAUAACUCCCCGAAAGGGGUGCUAAUACCGGAUAAUUUCUUCGGACCAAAGAUUUAUCGCCUUUGGAUGGGCCCGCGUUGGAUUAGCUAGUUGGUAGGGUAAAAGCCUACCAAGGCGACGAUCCAUAGCUGGUCUGAGAGGAUGAUCAGACACACUGGGACUGAGACACGGCCCAGACUCCUACGGGAGGAAGCAGUGGGGAAUAUUGGACAAUGGGCGAAAGCCUGAUCCAUCAAUGCCGCGUGAGUGAUGAAGGCCUUAGGGUUGUAAAGCUCUUUUACCCGGGAUGAUAAUGACAGUACCGGGAGAAUAAGCUCCGGCUAACUCCGUG
RNAcentral lists this ribosomal RNA (433 nucleotides) under uncultured bacterium. RNAcentral's name for it is "partial 16S ribosomal RNA". It matches the Rfam family "Bacterial small subunit ribosomal RNA", at positions 29 to 507 of the family's 1533-position model. The record is from RNAcentral.